CCUACGGGUGGCUGCAGUGGGGAAUAUUGGACAAUGGGGGCAACCCUGAUCCAGCGAUGCCGCGUGGGUGAAGAAGGCCUUCGGGUUGUAAAGCCCUUUAGGUUGGGAGGAAGUUUAUUAGUUGAUAAUGCUAGUAGAUUGACUGUACUGACAGAAUAAGCACCGGCAAACUCUGUGCCAGCAGCCGCGGUAAUACAGAGGGUGCGAGCGUUAAUCGGAAUUACUGGGCGUAAAGGGCGCGUAGGCGGUUAUUUAAGUGUGAUGUGAAAGCCCCG
This 275-nucleotide ribosomal RNA is filed under the name uncultured bacterium. RNAcentral's name for it is "partial 16S ribosomal RNA". It matches the Rfam family "Bacterial small subunit ribosomal RNA", at positions 338 to 605 of the family's 1533-position model. The record is from RNAcentral.